Molecule: long non-coding RNA, 1083 nt
Filed under: Gossypium barbadense (sea-island cotton)
Lineage: Eukaryota; Viridiplantae; Streptophyta; Magnoliopsida; Malvales; Malvaceae
Description: long non-coding RNA (GBAR_LNC015719)
Source: RNAcentral
CAACAUCAACAGCCACAUUCAUCUUCUUCUCUACUGUUUCAACUCCACUUCCAAUCGGCCACAACGACGACGGCGUCUCGAUGGCGCGCUGCCACCGGUAAGAGAUGUUCCCCUUCUUUGUUUCUUUUGGUUUUAAAGAACAAGAAAGAAAAUAAAGAAAACGAAGACAGUAAAAAAGAAAAAAUGGAACCCCCUGAUUACCUUCAAAAUUGCUUUUUAUAUUUUUUUUUUCUUUCAAAUAUAUCUGUAUACAAUCUUUUGCCCCCCCUUUUACAGAUUCUUAUUUGGUUUUAAUAGCCGAAAUAAGAGAGCCAAAAAAACUCCCAAAAAACUGCUGCUCCCUUUUUUAUAGUUUUCCUUACAUUUUUCUACUAUUGUUCGUGGUUGUAGUUUGUUGUUUGCUGCAGGAAGAACGUGCUGGAGCGCGAGGCAACGUGCGACGUGCAAGGACGACGUGGGGCAAGCAGUCUCAGCUAUCUGCUGCUUAGGGUUUUUGUGACUUUAGGCCACUUGAGCCCUGUAAUUGGGUCAAGCUUGGCCCAAGUUUUAUUGGGUUUAAUUGUAUUUAAUUUGGGCUAUGUUAAUGAUUUUGGGUUGGUCUUAUUUUGAAUGGGCCGGCAAAAAUGGGCUAUUACAAUUACGUUUUAGUCAUUUACGUGAUCAUGUUGUAACAUUUUAGUCACUGAGCCAUUAAUCAUCGUUAAUGGUGUAACGGUAAGCUGACGUGGCACGUUAAAUCAUCAUUUCAAACAAAAUUUUAGGUUAAAUUAUACAAUUAAUUCCCAUAUUUUUUUCAUGUUAAGUAAUUUAUUUUUUUUAUUUUAUGUUCUUUAAACUUUCCUCUUUUUUUUCAUUCUCUUUUGUUUCUCCCUCUUUUUUCAUAUCUUUCCCAUUUCUUUUAACAUAUUAGGAAGUCGAAUUGGCAAUGAAAAAAAAAGUAGGAAAUCGAUUAUCAUCAUUUGCCUAUAACAAAAACCCUAUAACCAAAACCCAUAAACCCAUAUCAUGCUUCUUUCUUCACUACCAAUUCGACUUCCUAGUAUGUUAAAAUAAAUAAAGAAGGUAGGAAAACAGAGAGAGAAG